RNAcentral lists this ribosomal RNA (497 nucleotides) under uncultured bacterium. RNAcentral describes it as "partial 16S ribosomal RNA". It matches the Rfam family "Bacterial small subunit ribosomal RNA", at positions 28 to 507 of the family's 1533-position model. The record is from RNAcentral.
GAUGAACGCUGGCGGCGUGCCUAAUACAUGCAAGUCGAGCGAACAGACGAGGAGCUUGCUCCUCUGACGUUAGCGGCGGACGGGUGAGUAACACGUGGAUAACCUACCUAUAAGACUGGGAUAACUUCGGGAAACCGGAGCUAAUACCGGAUAAUAUAUUGAAGCGCAUGGUUCAAUAGUGAAAGACGGUUUUGCUGUCACUUAUAGAUGGAUCCGCGCCGCAUUAGCUAGUUGGUAAGGUAACGGCUUACCAAGGCGACGAUGCGUAGCCGACCUGAGAGGGUGAUCGGCCACACUGGAACUGAGACACGGUCCAGACUCCUACGGGAGGCAGCAGUAGGGAAUCUUCCGCAAUGGGCGAAAGCCUGACGGAGCAACGCCGCGUGAGUGAUGAAGGUCUUCGGAUCGUAAAACUCUGUUAUUAGGGAAGAACAAAUGUGUAAGUAACUAUGCACGUCUUGACGGUACCUAAUCAGAAAGCCACGGCUAACUACGUG